GAUGAACGCUAGCGGCAGGCCUAAUACAUGCAAGUCGAGGGGCAGCGGGUGUAGCAAUACAUGCCGGCGACCGGCGCACGGGUGCGUAACGCGUAUGGAAUUUGCCCUUAACCGGGGGAUAGCCCGGAGAAAUCCGGAUUAAUACCCCAUAACAUAAGGUGUGGCAUCACAUUUUAUUAAAAAUUCUGAUGGUUAAGGAUGACCAUGCGUAUGAUUAGCUAGUUGGUGAGGUAAUGGCUCACCAAGGCGA
Molecule: ribosomal RNA, 250 nt
Filed under: uncultured bacterium
Lineage: Bacteria
Description: partial 16S ribosomal RNA
Rfam family: Bacterial small subunit ribosomal RNA
Source: RNAcentral